CGUUUCGAGCUAAUAAGUGAAUAAUUCAGUUUUAAUAUGGAAUACGCAUUGGUAGAACUGCCAUUAGAAUCCAACAGAAGAGUUAUUAUCAAAACUAAUCGUAUUAACGAUUUUAAUAAUUAUCGUGAAUCAACAAAAAAUAAAAUUUAUCGUUAUCAGAGAGAUGGUAAAGAGAUCAAAUGCACGAUAUUAAAAGUCGCAGAAACAUCCGAUGAAUUGAAAAAUCCAAUAGGUCGUGUACGCCGUCCUAAAAUCUUGAAUCCCUCGUCUUUAGAAUCUUCUGACGAUGAAAAAGAAUCAGUAACUACCGCGGCUAAAAACUGUAGGAAAAAACAAAAACAAAACGAAAGCAAAGUGAAAAAACAGAGAGCCGACGAAAUCAUUGAAGCUUUUGAACAGACUAAUGAAAUGAAGGAUAUGCUUCUAAAUGGACCAGAUUCGUAUGGCAAAGAUAAAAAUGAAGUCACAAACUCUGUAAUUCAAAGAAAAAUUUAGAUGACAAUAAACAACAAGUGAAUGAUAUAACUCAGAAUAAACAAGACGAAGAAAGAAAAGAAGAGUUUCAACUCGAUGGAGUAGCAACUGUAUUAAAUAACCUGGAAAAGAAGAAUGAUAAUGAAGAAAUAAACAGCGAAUACGAAAUAGAGUUAGACAAAAUAAACGAUUCUGAAUUGAUUGGCGAUUCCGAAGACGAUGCUGAUGGGGUAGAAACAUUGUCGCAAAGUUCGGAUGUACGAAAUAGAAAAAUGACAGAUCCUGAAACAUCAACUCAUUUAGAGCUUAAUAUGUAACGGGGUAAAUUUGUAUUUACCGCGUUCAAUUAAGUUUAAAAUAAAAUCUAUUAUGCGCACUGUCGGUCAUGCGACAUUACCACUUCGGGUAUUCCGGGUAGGUAGCGACUAGUCGUCCGGAAAUGGAAAUUUCACUUGCUCGACCGUCGACCCCACCUAGAGUUAAGUAGGAGUGGAAAAAGGACAACUAUAGUCAAGAGUGAGCGAGCAAUUAAAAACGGGGACCGGAACGAGAAUCGGGCAUUAACCAUCGGGACGUCCGAAUAGAGAGGUGGAGAGACGAAGUAACCAGACAACCGACGCCAUACAGACGCCGUUAAAUUAAUUAACCAGGUUAAAGGAGAGUGAGGAGAAAGAAAGAAAGGAGAGAGAGAGAGAAAGUAAAAACAGAGAGAGAGACGGAACCAAAAAUUAGACCAGACAAUUACGAGAACAAGGAAAUUAAUCAGACAAAACCCGGACAGAGACACGACGGAAAGAUCUGGAGAUUUUUACUGGAGAGGUUCAACCGUCUACGUCAUCGACUCCUCAUCAACCACGAGUUCUAGAUGAUGUGAACGUAGAUAUUAAUGUUAAGAACGGACUUAUAAACCAAUUAUUAGAGACAAAGAAGAAGCUGGAGUCUGAGCUAAAAAGAUUGAAAUUCUAACUUCAAGAAGCAAGGCUAGCACAUGUUAUGAACCAGGAGCAUCAACGACAACAACUACCACCUAUACGAGCACCAUCACCACCACCACCACCACAACAACAACAACAACAACAACAACAACAACAGCCACUACAAUAUCAACAACAUAAUCAGCCUUUUGACAACUUUUUACAAAACGAUCAAUAUAUUAUUGGUGAUAAUUUACAAAUUUCAAGCGCUUCAUAUCGUGAUGCUAUCAAUGCUGAUUUGCCAUCAAAAUUCGUAACCAUCAUGUCGCAUGCUAUAUGGGGUUAUGAAAUAUUAGCAACUCGCGUAGUCCGCAAACAAUCGAAUGCUCCCGGUAGAAGUAUUUUAACACCACGAAAAAAAGAGUUAUUAGCUUAUCAUUACGAAAAGUUUUUAAAGAAAAGAAAUUACAGUCGUGAAAAAAUUGAUAAUGAAUUAAAAAAAAUGAAUACUUACUUGGGUAGAUCAAUAACUGCUGCGAAACGAAAAUUGAUACAAUAAUAGUAGAGCAAAAAAAAAAACAAUUAAAAUAAAAUAUCAAAUAUACAAUCUGUUAAAAAAAUUCUCAUACAAUAAGAUAAUUAUUUAGUUUGCAGUAUACUUAU
Molecule: long non-coding RNA, 2051 nt
Organism: Microplitis demolitor
Lineage: Eukaryota; Metazoa; Arthropoda; Insecta; Hymenoptera; Braconidae
Exons: 7
Source: RefSeq, a predicted model, not a curated record